RNAcentral lists this ribosomal RNA (253 nucleotides) under uncultured bacterium. Its description in RNAcentral is "partial 16S ribosomal RNA". It matches the Rfam family "Bacterial small subunit ribosomal RNA", at positions 524 to 776 of the family's 1533-position model. The record is from RNAcentral.
UACGGGGGGAGCAAGCGUUGUUCGGAUUUACUGGGCGUAAAGGGCGCGUAGGCGGUCCGGUAAGUCGGUUGUGAAAGUCGGGGGCUCAACCCUCGGAUGCCGAUCGAUACUGUCGGGCUAGAGUCCGGAAGAGGCGAGUGGAAUUCCUGGUGUAGCGGUGAAAUGCGCAGAUAUCUGGAGGAACACCGGUGGCGAAGGCGACAUCCUGGACCAACACUGACGCUGAGGAGCGAAAGCCAGGGGAGCAAACGGG